This 65-nucleotide transfer RNA is filed under the name Mekongiana xiangchengensis. RNAcentral's name for it is "tRNA-Pro". Lineage: Eukaryota; Metazoa; Arthropoda; Insecta; Orthoptera; Pyrgomorphidae. The record is from RNAcentral.
CAGGGGUUAUUUUAUAAAAAUACUAGCUUUGGGUGCUUGAGUUAAGAAGAAUUUCUUACCCCUGA